This 426-nucleotide ribosomal RNA is filed under the name uncultured bacterium. RNAcentral describes it as "bacterial SSU rRNA". It matches the Rfam family "Bacterial small subunit ribosomal RNA", at positions 355 to 772 of the family's 1533-position model. The record is from RNAcentral.
UGGGGAAUUGUUCGCAAUGGGCGCAAGCCUGACGACGCAACGCCGCGUGGAGGAUGAAGGCCCUUGGGUUGUAAACUCCUUUUGCAGGGGAAGAAAUGCGAUCAGGUGAAUAAUCUGGCCGUUUGACGGUACCCUGCGAAUAAGCUCCGGCUAACUCCGUGCCAGCAGCCGCGGUAACACGGGGGGAGCAAGCGUUGUUCGGAAUCACUGGGCGUAAAGGGCGUGUAGGCGGUCAGGUAAGUGGGAUGUGAAAUGCCCCGGCUCACCCGGGGACCUGCAUCCCAAACUGCUUGGCUUGAGUAUGGGAGAGGAUGAGGGAAUUCCUGGUGUAGCGGUGAAAUGCGUAGAUAUCAGGAGGAACACCGGUGGCGAAGGCGCUCAUCUGGCCCAAUACUGACGCUGAGGCGCGAAAGCUAGGGGAGCAAA